GAGAAAGGGGGGACAACAAAGGAGACAUCUAUGUUACUAGCAUUGGGAGGCACUGGGAGAAAGGCUUCUGGGGAUAUUUGCGGAAUUUUGUGUGAUGUGGCCACUUCAAGAUAAAAGUAUCUGAGGAUCAGAGAGGCUGAGUGGCUUACCCACAGUCACACAGCAAGGAACCAGCACAGCCAGAGAUGGAACCUGGUCUCAUGCCAAAGCCUUUAUUCAUUCCACUGCAAUGAGGGCCUCGAGGAUGGAGAAAACUGGCUCAUAAGACUGCCUUUUUCUAUCUUGUCACCCACCGCUCAGCAUUUGUUUCUCUCUGUCCUUCCCUUCCCUCAUUUGCAUGUCAUUUCCUCCGGGAAGCUUUAUGGUGUGGACACUUUCACCUGCCCCAAGGACUUCUCCACCCACACCUUAGUGAUGUCACAGGGCCUUGGGCAAGUUCUGGAAAACACUUCCUGCUGAGGGCUGGGUGGACCUUUGGGAUCCAAGCUGUCUGAGGUCACAGCCCGUUUCCUUCCCCCGGGGGAUGCUAAUAGGAACCUGCAUUCAGGAUUUCAAGUUCCAGGAGGCCUGGGAUCAGGGGAGAAUUGCAGUCUUCUCCAGGUCAGGCUAAAAGGUGCUGGCCAGGAGGAAGCUGAGCUGCAUGAAGCCCCCCCUAGGAUGCCAGGGACCCCUCUCCUCAACAAUGAACUAGCUGGUGUACAAGCACGUGGUCCUGCCCAGGGCGCCCAUGCAGACCUUGUCUGCUUUGAUUGACAAGGUGGCGCCUCUGCAAUGUUGAAAACACUCUUGGCUAAACACUAAAAAAGAAAAAAAUUACCUGGAUCCCUCUUGUUAUUAAAAGUUAUUUUUGCUUUUGCAUAUUUGCUGUCUUUUUUUUUUUUUAUCACAGGUGGGCCUAUUUUUCCUUUGUACACAGUUUCCCUUAUGGUGUACACACCAUUUUCUCUUCUGUUUUGUUCCCCUGACUAUGCUGAUUCAACACCCUGUGAUGAAACCCAAAUAUUUUUCUAGAAGCAAACGCAGGCUGGUUUGCCGCCAUCCACAGAUCAUGAGCUUCCCCCAACACUGCCGAGGUACGACUCGUUCCAGGCUUGAGCAGUUAGUUGUUUGCAAAAGCGAAGUAGCCCUCCUGAGACCCAAGGUGCAAACAACUCAUUGUUGGGAAAGGAGUUCCUCUUUGACAUUCAGAUAUAAUGAAGAAGAAAAAGGGAAUAAAAAUUCCAGCAGAUUAAAACAGCAAACAUACGAAAAGAUGCUCAAGGCCACUAAUCAUUUGGGAAAUGCAAAUCAAAACCACAGUGAGAUGUCACCUCACGUCCAUCAGGACCGCUAUGAUAACACUGUCAAGGAGUGGAGAUAUCACAACCUCUGUGCACUGUUGGUGGGGAGGGAAAAGAAUACAGUCAUAAAUGAAAACAGUAUGGUGGUUCCUCAAAAAGGUCUACGUAGAAUUACCACGUGAUCUACUAAUUCCACUUCUGGGUAUGUAGACAAAAGAAUGGAAAGCGGGGUCUUGAAGGGAUAUUUGCACAGCCGUAUUCAUCGCAGGAUUAUUCACAGUAGUUCAAAGGCGGAAGCGACCCAGUGUCCAUUGGAGGAGGAAGAAACUGAGGCACAGAAUGGUAAACGUAAACAAUCCAAGCUCAUGUAGCUGAUUCGGAACCUGGAGCAUAGAAAGGAUGAGCAAGUUGCCCAAAGACACACACUUUCAAGUGGCAGAGAAUGUAACCGGCAGCUGUUGGCAACUGGUUCCAGCUAUUAAUACUCUGAGAAGUGGCGGAGCUGUGAGGAGUCUUUUUGUCCUGUCCACAUGACAAGGAGCAGUGCCGUUUUGGGAGGCUGGUGAAUGAGGGGGGUCCCUCCUCACUGAAGAUCAUUCGGCUCAAAGUUGGAAGGUCAAUGGUGAGGUUGGAUCUUCAUUCUGCCAGCAACCAGUUCCGUGACCUGGAGCAAAAUGGAGAGAGCACAGCCUGUACAGCCAAGGGGAGGGAGGAGAGACAUGUCAUCACGCACAUACACUGAGCCAGGGGAACAGGAAGGGCACUGCAGGCCGCAGGAACAGUGGUGGAAAGGUACAGCCCAGCAUCCCCGGUCCACACCGACCCCUCCAUGGGCCUCCAUGAGGACCCGGCCUGGUGCCCGAUCCCGGUGCCCAGGUGCUGGGCCGCACAGGAGCAUGAAUGUUCCUUUGGCAUCUAACGCUGAGGCCAUGGCUGCAGGCCUGGGCAGGAGGAGGGGACCUCUGUGAAUGCUGGCUGGAGGGAGUAAAGAAAAAGUGCAUGUUCGGGGCAUGGCCAGGGCCCCUCCUUCCCAAAGCUGGUCCAGAGCAACUCCACCCAGAACCAAGCAGACAUGCAGCCAAUGGCCAAGGAGGCCCAGUGGGAACGGAGAGCAAGAAGGAGCAGUAUCAGGCCAAGCUUCCCAAGCCCCGCACGGAGGGGAAGGAACCAGCGGGCCUGACUGGGGGGACAGAAUGAACCAGCCCAGAGAGGGGCAUCCCACAGGCUAGGACGGGAACUCCUUCCUGAAGCCUCUGGUUGUGGGAAAACCACCGCUCUUUCCCUUUGCAAGACCUGGGUGAGAGCAGGGCAGGGGACUGAUCUGACCUGGUGGAUGGCAAGUCUGGCUGCUCCAAUGCCUGAGAUCCCAGCACGUGCCCUUUUCCAUUCCUCCCUCCCCUCUGCCCUGCUCAACACGCAGCUCUGAGGUAUCCACUCCGGGCAGGACAUGGCCCUGGAGAGGAGGGAGCACGGGCCUGGGAAGCAAAAGCCCUGGGUCCUCGUCUAGGCUUUGCCCUUGACCAGCAGUGUGGCCUUGGGCGAGUUUCAACCCUCUCCGGGCUCCUGGGUCCUUGUGCACAUAAGGAGACCGCAGGCUUGCUCCCCCUUGCCGUGUGCUCAGAGGAAUUAACAUGCUGUGGGAGAAAAGCAUGAAACUGCUUUCACUGGGAACGGUGGUGCUUUCCGAUGUCUACACUACAUGUGAGGUCGGGGAGGGGCAGGGAAUCGGUGGAGCUCACGGUUGCCUUCCAACAUUGAGCACACCUCACGUGCUUGGGGGUCUGCCUCAAAGGCAGGAGAGGGGGCAGCGACUUCAGGCUUCAGCCUGUCCCUCUCACCUGCUCCAGCCUUGUGAUCGGAGUGGGACUCGGUCACGAGCUAUGAAAGGAACCACUGGGGCAAUAGAGCAAUGUCGGGAGUGCAGCUCUCACUUCCUCCGUCUGCCCUGACCCCUGGGACCAACUGUUGUAACUGCCUCCCCUGUUGCCACUUGGCCUUCUUCCCGAGGAAGAGAAGUCCAGUUUCGUCUGUGCUGGCAAAGUUUAGAGCCAAGAGCUACAUUUCUCACCAUCCUGGCAUCUAGCGUACCCAUGGGACACGGUUGUGGCCAAAAAGAUAAGGCGGCAUUGGAACGAGACGCUGGAAAACCUCCCGCAGGUGCAGCUGGCCUUUCGCCAUCUGCUUUUCCUCGUGUGACUGCCUGGGAGAUAGAAUUGGUGCCUGGAGGUUUAGGAGCCAUUUUGCAACCAUGAGGACAAGACCCACAUGCUAAGAAUGACUGAGACGAGGCCUUUGAGCUGUCCUAUAACCCUGAACUGCUUACUUCUGGAAAUACAACAUUUCCUAAUUGUGAAAGCCACUGUUUCUCCCCCCAACCCUUUGCCUCCGCCCCAGGGAGAGGUUAAGGUGGGGGUAGACAAGCACAAUUAUAACCAAUACACCCUUUCCUCCAAGAACUAACUCAGUGCCGCCUUGGAUGCCUUCUAAGACCCCCCCAGAGGAGGGGGAGUCCCCAGAGGACUCAUCGCACUGCCUUGUUAGGGCCGGUGACUCGCGUGCAGUCCCCACAAGACCAUUUCAGGGAAGGCAGGCCCUGCACGUCUGUGUUGAUCAACAGUGCAUCCCCAGAACUGACAGUUUCUGGCAAACAUCCCACAUUCUGUACUUUUCUGGGACCAAUGAUAAAAGAACCCUUUGAGGUCUGGUUCUAGAUGCAGCUAGCCCACCUUCCACCCAGGAACCAUCAUCUCUGGCCAAUUUGGAACCUCCCUGGACACAUCUUUGAAACAGCUAGCUUCUAAAAUUGGGUUUCCUGAAAUACGCAAAGCCACACGCAUGAGCUCUGUAAGUGACUGCCGGCCUCUCCCAGAACCGCUGCCUUCUCCUAAACCCCACAGCCCAUCCUGGUGGCCCUGCUCUUGCUACUACAUGACCCAGAAGGCCACUCACACAAACCCUCUGGCAGGUUCUGGUGCCGAGAAGGGGCACAUCUCACAUCACAUGGUGGGCUUGGUGGAGAAGACAUCAGUGUGUACAGGGAAGCAUUCGCAGGCCUCCUUGUCAGGCGCUUUUCCUGUCUGAAGCAUCUCGGUUAUAUUUAGGAAGUAAAAUUACUCUCUCUAUGAGUUCUGGAAGGUUCUCAGUCUCCUCCUCCUCCUCCUCUUUCCUUUAUGGUGACUUUCUCCUCCAAACCUGUUUUCACUCUGCCCCCAAAAUAUUCACACUUUUUCUAUAUCCAAGUGAUCGAAUAGCAUAGCCAACUAUAUAACUACUUCAUUUACCUUCCUUUUGAACAGCAUGGCGAGUCUAUAUGUUACUGAUGAGAAUGCAAAGUCCAUAUGUAUCCAACAAACUUGGGGUUCGUUUGUUCCAAUGUUUGUUGACAGUCACUUGGAA
Molecule: long non-coding RNA, 4676 nt
Organism: Myotis myotis
Lineage: Eukaryota; Metazoa; Chordata; Mammalia; Chiroptera; Vespertilionidae
Exons: 9
Source: RefSeq, a predicted model, not a curated record